CAUCCUCUGAGUGAGGCUUUCCACCCUGUCCUUGAACGGCAGGGGACCAGGGGACUCGCCUUAUAGGCUAGACUUUCUAUGUGUAUCCCAUUGUCCCCAAGGGCAGUAGGGAGUGGCUAAAGGUGUCUUGGAAGCAGGGGCUGCAUCCCUGUUCUUCAAGACCCUCUGUGCCCUCCACUUGUUCUGCAGGGUACACAUGGGGAGUGUCGGGGGCAAAGGAGACUCAGGGCAGCCAAGUUUCUGAGAAUAUGGGUGUCUGUGAGUGAGGAUCUUGGAGUGUGGGGAGCCUGGGAAUGGGGGGAUGCCUGGGAGGGAGGCUCUGGGAAUGGGGUAUCCUGGGAGGAUGCAUGGGAUCUGGAGUCCAGAGAGAAAGUAAGAGAUACCCUGUGGCUAAUACCGUAAGGCAUUCGACAGCAUGAAGUGCUCGAGGUGGGGAUAGGGGUGCAGAGACCUUCUUCCUAGGGAGGUGCUGACAGACGAGCCUGUAGGGAGGAAGAGGGUCUCAUAUGCCUGUGGGAGUCUGUGUUGGGUGGGCUUAUGGGGCUGUGACCUUGACUCUUGUUCUCCCUCUGGAUUAGGGUCUUGGUUUUCCUGGAGACCCUGGCCCCCCAGGAGAAGGUGGCUCAUGACCAGGACAGUGUUAAGGGUGACUAUGGCAAGAAUGGUGAGCCAGUACAGCCUGUGAGUGACCAAUGUCCCUGCCACCCCCACUGAGCUCCAGCCUUCAGCCCCUUACCCCUGUCUUCUGUGCCCUACUCCUGAGGGGUCCCUUGGCUGGAGGCCAACACUCACCCACCCCAAUUCCUCUUGUUCUGUGGAUCCUGUGGUCCCACUGGGGAGAAUGGACUACCUGGACCACAUGGAAAGCAGGUAAGUGAGGUAGAAGACCCUGGGACCUUGGGAGGUAGUCCCUGGGAAAUGUGGGUAGAGGCUGGGUGGU
This 940-nucleotide long non-coding RNA is filed under the name Pongo abelii (Sumatran orangutan). Its description in RNAcentral is "lincRNA". Lineage: Eukaryota; Metazoa; Chordata; Mammalia; Primates; Hominidae. The record is from RNAcentral.